CCCUACGGGGCGCAGCAGGCCUGUUGUGGCCCAGGGCCAUCACAUCGGGUCCGACCAACAACUAUGUUCACAUGGUCGUAUUGACAUCUCCAGUUAACAACGGCGGUGUCGAAUAUCAAGGACUUGACGGUGCCCUGCUUUAUUACCGCUCGCUCGACGGCGGCGCCACCUGGGAUAAGAACGGGAUUAUCCUCCCGGGUCUUGAUUCCAACAAUUAUGACGGAUUCAGCGCUGAUGUAUAUUCCUGUGGGACCCCCCAGGGCGAUGUUAUCUAUUUUGGC
This 281-nucleotide ribosomal RNA is filed under the name uncultured prokaryote. Its description in RNAcentral is "partial 16S ribosomal RNA". The record is from RNAcentral.